This is a long non-coding RNA of Ornithodoros turicata, 1934 nucleotides long. RefSeq lists it as uncharacterized. NCBI's taxonomy places the organism in Eukaryota, Metazoa, Arthropoda, Arachnida, Ixodida, Argasidae. The transcript is spliced from 4 exons. The record is from RefSeq and is a predicted model, not a curated record.
GGUCUAGUAAUACUACUGCACGAAUUUUGGCUCCCGGAUUUGUCAAAAGAUUCGAUAAAUCCGGAUUUAAAAGCGGAUUUGAUUUAGGUCCAGGAAAACAAAUCCGGAUUUAAAAGGAUUUGAUUUAACGUGUCAAAAUUAAAUCCGGACUUGAUUUGGAUUUGAUUUACUACCUUCAGAAAAAAUGCGGAUUUGAUUUAAAUCCGAUUUGAGCGGCCAAAUCCGCAACACUGGUCUAGACACAGUCAGUGAUCAGACUUACGUGGUAUGUAAAUGUAGAGAUGUAUUGAUUAUUUCUUUCUGCUCAGUGUAUGCUUUUAGCAGAAUAAACGGUAAUUACUUGAGCAAUAUGUGCAUUUCUACGCAUUAUUUUCGGUCAUGCAUUCAGUGGUCCCAGCUGCUAAGUGGCCGGAUCCCGGACCACUUAGCAGAGGGGACCACUGGAUCAAUUCCACUGGUUCCACUUCAAGUGGGACCAUCGUGAAGCUGGUUCCACUUUCGACUGGUCCCAGUCACUAAGUGGUCCCACACUCAAAGUGGGACCUGUCCAAUAAACCACUUUGAAGUGGUCCCACUCCAGAUUUUUGCCUGGGCGUGAAUGAUGCGUUCACUGUGCAACGGUCGCUUGCUUAGCGGCUUGCCUGUGCAACGCAUUUUUGCUCGUUAUUAGCGUGAUGUGUGACACAGGCGUUGGUUUUAUAAUCGAAAGGAUUUGUCUGUAAGUUACGACAGUGCGACAGUACAAUGAGCGCCAGCGGCCGGGCGGGCGGGUGUUAUAGGAUUACAGCUGGACUACAACUGUGGAUACCGCUUUAUCGUGAGUACUAUGCUUAAGUGCUUUUCCCUUGUGCACCAUUUAGAAAUAUUCUACUAGAACCUCAUCUCUUUGUUCCGCGUCAGGUUCGUGGCACCUGUAAGUGCAUGCCGUUUUACGAGUAACACGUACGAGUAGCUAGUUAACGUUACCAGCAACUUGUUUCAUUCUCGUGUUUCUGUCUUUGUAUUUCUUCGUUCAUGCUCGUGUUUUAGAUCCUUCACACCACGGGUGUUCUCGAACUAGCGUAGAACUAAGAGCUUCGCCGGCUUUCGGGGGCAAUGAGUAGUACUCAUUGCCCCCGAAAGCCGGCGAAUCUCUUAGUUGAUAUGUCCAACUACUCCACAACAGAAAGGUUGAGAGAUUUGCGUGCUUUUUGGGGCCACGACUGCUCAAAUUAACUGCACACUUUAAUUACAUGUUGCAAUUGAAUGCAUAUUUACUUGUGCCUUUUCAACUUUCCAGAGACCUUAAGCUACUUGGGCUCAAAGGAAAAUGUCGAUCCAUCGUGUGCUAUUAAGAACAUCUCACAUACUUUGUUGAAUGAUUCAAGAUGACCACAAGGUAGUCGAGCAAGGGACCCAUCAGCCAUGAAAUAUUAUCUAUUCCAUGUAACUCUGUAGUUCCUCUACUGCUUUUGUUUAAUUACAUUAUAGUUACGCUACAUGUACAUUAGAAUAUGUGCAAUGUUUGAUUACAAAUAAAAUGUAAUUUUGCAUUGCAGUUCUUUGGAUCUGUCGUUGCUGGGAACAGCGAUCCUGCGAAGUGGCACUGGUUGGCUACCAGCUAGCCUCUGUCCGAGCAGGCCACUCAGAGAUGGUCACUUCUGGGCACACCAUCCUUCCUGGCCAAGUCGUGUGGAAAGGCAUCCAAGACACCCUUGGCCUUGGACCACUUUCUGGAAGAAGAUCCAGGAGGGGGCAUCUCUUUUGCAUGGUUUCUCGUGAUACUGAGGGUAUACUGUGGAUCAGCCCUGCAGGGGCAGCAAGCUGAAGAACAAAGCCAGAACCUAUGAAGAAGUUCUGGAGAUUGUGUCGAAAACAGCACAAGUAUUCAACAGAUGUCACAGAUUUUUCACCAUUUCUCUGUAUGUACAAUAAAUGCUCAGUCCUGUACUCUA